RNAcentral lists this long non-coding RNA (3011 nucleotides) under Pomacea canaliculata. RNAcentral describes it as "uncharacterized LOC112577216". Lineage: Eukaryota; Metazoa; Mollusca; Gastropoda; Architaenioglossa; Ampullariidae. The record is from RNAcentral.
GGCCUCUAUGUCACAAAAAAUUUAUUUAUACUUUAUUUCAAAUAUAUGUAACACAGAUAUCUACCAUUUCAUCUCUUAUAUUAUAUUCAAAAGCUACUGAUUAAUAUUUUUCCAAGAACCUUUUUUCUCAUCGUGUGUUGGUCUCAAACCACAUAAACAUAAACAUGGUAUUUGGAAAGUCAAGCCGCAAGUCGCCAAGUAGAGGUCUGAACAGCUUUGCCAUCCGUAAAUUCAGGGGGAUUAGUUCCAUUUAUAAAUGGACACAAGGCAUCAGCCAGGCAUUUGCAUAUUUGUUCUUCGCACCUGGAAAUAACAACUGAUGGUCAUAUAAGCUGCAAGCUACAAAGAGGUUGGUCAUAAAAAGAUGGAGAGAUUGCAUAGAUGGAAAAGACUUUUUUCAGGAUUUCGUCGCAGGAGAUUCCACACAAAUAUUGUGUUUCAAAGACAAGUGCCAUUAUCAAAUCCAUCUUGGCAUCCACCCCUUUUUUUCUUGAAUAAUAUAGCUGAUACUGUGAUGAGGCAACCAAGGUGUUUGCAGAAUGUAGACUGUACACAGCUUUUGACAGGAGGCAGCACACAUUAUGAGAAUUUUUCUUCAACCUGUUGGCUGGAAGACCAUCUUCAUCACUUUGGAGAGGCAUCUUCUUUCAGGGAGAUUAUUCUUGCUCCAGAAUAUUCCUCACAUUACUGUGCUGCUGAACAUGAAGACUGUAAUCCACCACCCUACGAUGAUGAGCCACCACCCAGCUAUGAAGAAGCCAUUGCUGUAGCACAACAUUGUGAUACAGAUAACCUCCAUUCUGAAAAUCUGUGGUUCUAAGGAAAUACUGGGGUAUCUUUUUUCCUUUUUCACUGUGUUAUUCUAAUACUCGACAGAAAUACUUAAGGUUUACCAUGCAAGUAAACCACACAGUAAGCAAAGUUAAAACCUAAUUUGAAUGUACCGAUUUGUGUAAAGAAAUUAUGUCAAAAACAAAUUGUUACAUAAAAAGUUUUCAAAUUUGGAGAGCAAAAACUAUAAUAUUAGCAUAACUUUAUGUUAUACAGUCUCUGUAUUGUGCAAUAAGUCAGAUUUUUAUAUUAUCUGCAUAUUACAAAUGCAUAUUACAUUUGCUUUGUUAAAUUGGUGUUUUGGUGCAUAAUGGGGAAGCAAAGGAAGUGACUAUCCCAUUGAAAGCAAGUUUUCACAUUUGUAUAUGUAUUUAUUGAAGUUUUUAAAAUCUAUCUCAGAAAAAUUAUCUUUUGCAUUUUCUUCCACUUGCUAUACUCGAAGGUGAGUCAAAACAGCAUAUUUUUUUACAGAGCUUGUAGGUAAUCACUAGUUUGAAAAAUGAAUAGUUUCUCAGUGAGCACAGCAAUCUUGAGCCAUAUUUAUCAGUCAUUCAUUGAAAGUAUCAUCUUCUUCCUUUGCUUACUAGUUUGUUUGUCAUAACUCCAAUAGAACAGUAUUGUACAUAUUUGUUCUAAGCUAAUUGGUGUCAUGCAUAGGGACUUUGCUUCUUUUUGUUAUCAGCAAAUUAUCAGAAGAGCUAAUGCAUUUUGUCCGUACUAUAGCAUGCACUAAAGUUGUUUUAUUGGGUUCAAGCAAAUUUUAUGCUAUGCCUGUUAUACAAAAGUAAGAGGCACUUAAAAUCAUUAUACCCUCAGUUCAGGUGAAUUGUUGAUUGUGUAAGCAUGUGGCUGUAAGGUGUUGAAGGUGUACUUUACGAAUGGUUUUAGAUGUAAGAUUGCAUGGUUUUGAGUUUUGCUAUGAUGCACCACUUGCCUUAUCCUUGUCUUGCAACUGGCAGUUGGUUUUUUUCUGUUUUUUAUAACUGGGGGCAUUUCCCAAGCUAUAAUUGCCCAUUGGAAUUAAUAAAGUUGGUCAUUUGUCAUUUGUGUGUGAAAUAAAAUACAGAACUGUAUUUUGUUAAAAGCCUUUAUAAUUGAGGGUGAUUUUGCAGUUAUUGUCUUCCUUUGAAGGUUGAAAUUUGUGUUAACUUUAUAGAAUAUUUCUUGGUCAGUGCCUCUAUUUUUGUCUUCCUUUCUUACUGUUAAUAAUAGAAUUUUUAAUGUGGAGGGGAGCUUGUUGUGCUAAAUGCUGAGCUCAGCUCACUUGCUCUGCAUUUGUCUCUCUUUCUAUUAAUGUUGCCUCUUUCACUCUGCCUGGGUCAGAAGAAAAAAAAUUUACAAAAGUUGGUGGAUCUAUAUGUUUGUGUGUAUAUGUGGACACCUGAAACAUAAGAGCACUUACUUGUUCAGUUAUAUUCAGUACUUUUCAGAUGGUUAGAGAGGUGUGGAGGUAAAAAGAAAGAGAAAGAAUGAGUGCACGUGUGUCUAUAUACAUAAAUUGCUUGAUGAAUUUAAAUUUCAUUUGCAGUACUCCAAUAUUUACUGAUUCAUAUAAUUUUAUAUAAUUUUGUACUAUAAAUUUUAUCUUAUUUUGUUAAAGAGGCAUGCACCAAUUCAAUAUGGGUCAUGUAUAUGUAGUUUUGAUAUGGAUAAGAUAUGUAAUUAAUAAUAAUCCAAUAACAGUGUUAUGAUCUGUAAGCUAGCUAUAUUUCAAUAAAAUUUAUGUCAUUCUUUAUAGUCUUUUUGCAUUAUAAGUUUUGAAAAUAUUAUUUGCUUGCAUUGUAAAUAUAUAAAUCUUCAAUUCCAAGGUGAUUAAGUAAACUUAAGUUUUAAAUACUUUCAUUAAGUACCAAAAUAUGUCCCCGUAAUUUCUUUUGACAGUUCAAACUGUCUGUAAAGAAAAAUCAAGCAGCUUUGCAUUAAAAGUAAUCUUAGGAGGUAUUGAGAUAGAUGAAAAAUGUUAAGAUUACCUUCUUGGCUAUUCUUUUAUGUAGGCCUCAGAUGCUAGUCUCAAAAUAUUUUAAGACACAGGAUUUUUAUUUGUGUACUUUUUCAGAAUGGGUUAAAGAAAACAGCCUAUUGCUUUGUGUGCUUAAUACAUAAACAUCUUAUGGUUAUAAUUACAUCAUUUUUAGUAGAUUUUAUUUCUGUACAAGAAAUAAACAUACUGUACAGUAUAA